GAUGAACGCUGGCGGCGUGCCUAAUACAUGCAAGUCGAGCGAACAGACGAGGAGCUUGCUCCUCUGACGUUAGCGGCGGACGGGUGAGUAACACGUGGAUAACCUACCUAUAAGACUGGGAUAACUUCGGGAAACCGGAGCUAAUACCGGAUAAUAUAUUGAACCGCAUGGUUCAAUAGUGAAAGACGGUUUUGCUGUCACUUAUAGAUGGAUCCGCGCCGCAUUAGCUAGUUGGUAAGGUAACGGCUUACCAAGGCGACGAUGCGUAGCCGACCUGAGAGGGUGAUCGGCCACACUGGAACUGAGACGCGGUCCAGACUCCGACGGGAGGCAGCAGUAGGGAAUCUUGCGCAAUGGGCGAAAGCCUGACGGAGCAACGCCGCGUGAGUGAUGAAGGUCUUCGGAUCGUAAAACUCUGUUAUUAGGGAAGAACAAAUGUGUAAGUAACUAUGCACGUCUUGACGGUACCUAAUCAGAAAGCCACGGCUAACUACGUG
RNAcentral lists this ribosomal RNA (497 nucleotides) under uncultured bacterium. Its description in RNAcentral is "partial 16S ribosomal RNA". It matches the Rfam family "Bacterial small subunit ribosomal RNA", at positions 28 to 507 of the family's 1533-position model. The record is from RNAcentral.